CAACUACAUAACACAAAUGAAAUAAUGUUGCCAAUAAACAACUGAUUAUAUCCCUUGUAACUAAGGAAGUGCUCUCUACUUACUCUUCAACCUCUGAUGACGUGCUUAAAGUUACAGGAUGACAUCAUUGAUUAAUUUCAUUAUAGAUUAGUUUUGGUGAGUACAAAUUACUCCGUAAUUUUAUUCUAUGUCAACUUUGUAACGGC
This 206-nucleotide long non-coding RNA is filed under the name Mytilus galloprovincialis (Mediterranean mussel). The record is from RNAcentral. Lineage: Eukaryota; Metazoa; Mollusca; Bivalvia; Mytilida; Mytilidae.